CGUUUUACUCUUUACGAUUACAUCAUAUACAAUGUACAGGUAUUUUCGAUACCUCUGACAUGAUUCUAAUAUCGCUUUUGUAUGCUUGGUUGACGUCAAUACCUGGGGAUUUAAAAAGAAAUACGUCUUAAUUUGUUUGCAACCACAACGUGAAUAUGCAAUUUGUACACAUCCGCAUUUCAGAAUUUCAAUUAUUUUAGAGACCUAAGCGGUGAUACAUUUUGUUAUUUCAAAGGUAAGACAACUUUUAGGUUUUGAAAUAAUGUAAUGAAUGAAAGCAGAUUAUUUUUUUACAUAUACUGAAUUGUCUGUUCUGUGUUGUUUAAAAUUUUUCAAUUAAUAUAUAUAUAUAUUUUGAUAUUGAGAUUGUGUUAGUUCCUUCGAAAGGGGAUGAGUUUAUUCGGUAUAUUUUUAAAUGCGUUUUAUAUUUUGCAAUGACUUAUUUUUGGUGACUGCAUUUUACAAAUUGUGUAUUUUUAAGCAAGUUUCCUCUUGUGUUAAUACCUAUUGUUUCUUAUAAAUUUUGCUAAUUAUUCUCUAUUCUUUAUAUUUAAAAGCACCUAAGUUUUAUGUAUUCUUUAUUUAUUUUUUCUAUUCUUAAUCUGCACAUGUUGUUCAUUAUUCUGUAAAUGUGGAGAAUAAAGAUAAAAAAAGAGAACACUGAAAUAAAGACCCUAUCAAGACAGACACUUCCGUGUUUUUUGUGUCUGAGUUUCCAAGCACAACAUAUGACCAUACAUUACAUGACUAGUAAUUUUGGGGCCCUUUAUAGCCUAUUGUUCGGUGUGAGCUAAGGUUCCGUGUUGAAGGCCGUACAUUGACCUAUAAUGGUUAACUUUUUAAAAUUGUAAUUUGGAUGGAGAGUUGUCUCAUAGGCACUCACACCACAUCUUCCUUUAUCUAUAUAUCUAUGAACGCUUGCAAAUCUAUUCGGAGUAUUUGAUUGAUCAUUAGGAAACACGUUUUGGCAAGAAUGCCAAUAUGACUAUAUCAACUAUGACCUUGAUCCUAGAUAAAUUGACAUAUGCUAUGGCUGUAGACUGCCUUUGCAGGUACUUUUAGGGGUAUGGUUUGAUUAACUGAGAUGAAUUAAAAGAAAAAUGUGAAUAAAAAAACGUCACGCCUUCAAUACAACAUAUCAAAAAGCAUAAGUUAAACUCCAAGGGUAUCACCAGCACAUAAGUCAGCACUUCUAUGUUGAUAUGUAUCAUCAUAAACUAUUUAUAAAACAAAUUUGAUUUUUUCGAAAUUCUAAGUCUUUUAUACCCAAAAAAAUGAUAAGCGUGAAACUUUCGAAAAUUUUUUUCUUUAUUGCUUUUUCACUUCGUCCUUUAUUUGGCCUUUUUAAUCAUUUCUUUAUUUGAUCGUCAAUAAUAAGUCUUUUAAAGACGAGACGCGCGUCUUACGUACACAAUUCUAAUCCUGGAAUCAAUGAUGAGUUUAUUUAAUAUGGGGCAAGAAAAUUUACUAACGCGUGUAUGAUCUUUUCCCUCUACAAUGUAUAUUGUACAUUUAACCAAUCAUUGAUUAUUGCUAAGCAAUUCGAAUAUUUCACAUCACUAUACAGAAUGUUUAUUUGAUCAAUGUUACAUGCAACGGUAAAUAGAAAAUUUUUGUUUUAAUUGUUACCUCUGAGAGGAGAGUCCAACAGUGACCAGUCAACACAUUUCCCAAGUUUAUAGGAUUGUUGAUUAAGAUGAAUCAUUUUAGGAAAAAACAAAAAUGAUUCAUGCGGGUCCGCUUUUAUGUCGAAAAACUUAGGAUCGACAGGUAGGCGUAUAUUUUCUUUUAAAUGUUUCUAACUGAUGUCAACAGGAGCAAUAGUGAACUUAGUAAUUCUUGCUCACUAAAUCACAUUGUCUCCAUCAUGUCUUUUCCGGAUGUUUUUGGAUGUUAUAUUCUUAUUUACAGAAAACAUAAAACAAGAUGUGUAGCAGUAAGUGUGUUGUUAUCACUGUCAUUGUUCUGGUUGUUAUUAUCACGGUGAUAGCAGUAGUAGCUACUUCACUGAAGAAGUUGGAUUCAGAUGAAAGUACGUGGAAAAAUAUCGUUAAGGUACCAUAUAGCGAUUAUUUUCGCGGGUGAAAAAAUUUCGUGAUUUUAAUAGAAAAAGGCAUACGAAAUAUUUUGGCGGUUAUUAUUUUGGGGAAUUUAAAACUGUUAUCAAUAUCUUUACAUGUUCACCUUUAAAUUGGCGGAAUCUAUUAUUGCGAUUUUUUCUAUCCGCGAAAAUAAGCGUAAAUGUACUCCCCGCAAAAAUAACCCGCUUUACGGUAGAUAGCUUGAGUUUUUAAAUGUUCGACAAUGAUUACUUUCAAACUUCUGUAACAGAGUUUGGGAUCGUUGUGCUUUCAAAUUUUAAUAUAAGUAAUACUGUUCACGAUCCUUAUUUUUUAUGGGUAUUGAAUAAAUUCAAAUUCACAAAAUUGCAGUUAUUUUUAGAUUGAUUCCAUAGGGAGAAAGUUAACAUAUUGAUUCUCAGACGAGUCAUACAAAGAAUAUACAAAUCACUAUUUUUACCAAUUUCAUUUUUUAGAACAGAGAAUUAAAAAAAAGAUCAACAAAACAAGAAGCAUGAGUAGGUCAAUUUUGCAGAAAUCAAUUCAAAAUAGUUUGAUGUUAUUAGAUUGACUGUUGGUGUUUAAGUCCACAUUCGGCCUUCUUUGCUUUAUCCUGGUGAUCAGUCUUCGAUGACCCAGGAAGAACCACCGACCUUCGGUAGGAAAACAGAAAUUUAGGUCAACUAAGAUCAGGUUCGAACCACACCUGUCACAAGCAGGGUUUGCCUCAGUGGCGAGAGCCAGUUAGUAGCUUUGAAUGAACCACUAAGACCACACGACCACGUUUUUUACAAUAGAUGGAAUUGAUCUUGGAUUUCAAUUUUCACAAUAUUAUCUAUUGAACAUGUUAAAGAUGAAGAGAAAUUGUUGAACGCAAAAAUUAUUACCAACAAAAUCUACAAUUGAUAAAACAUGCUUGCAAUCAGAAGUCGACUUCUUCUAGGAGUGAAUGCCUUUAAGGACAUAUAUUUUUUUUUAUCCGCGCGUCACUGAUUGAUGAGUCUUUGUAGAUAAUCUCAUCAUAGAUACAUUUGUACCAGGACUAAAUUUUGUAUAUACGCCAGACGCACGUUUAGUCUACAAAAGACUCAUCAGUAACGCUCGACGGAACGCCCGAACACCCGUCUGGCGUAUAUAUAAAUUUUAAUCCUGGUAUCUAUGAUGAGUACUUAGUUUGUGGAAACUUCUAUUAAAGGUACUGUUUAAAUUAACACAAUCAACAAAACUAGAUAAACAAAAUCAAAUUGAUACAAUCAUCAGACGUAUACGAGUUAUUAUCCUUGCAAAACGAUUUCUACCCAUUUUCUCCCAAAAAGAAUUGAAGACAAAGAGAAACAAAACUUAAAAUGAAAUCAUUAAGAAGGGAUUUACAAGAAAGUCAAUAUGGUCAAAUUGACGAUUUAGUUUAUGAAAGAUGUUGCCAUUGAAUGAAAAUUUACUUGCUUCUUUCUCGGAAACUAGGAGAAUUUGACAAAAACUGUAAAAAGUUAAACUAAUCAGCAAAAUCAAACAUAUAAACACGUAAAUAAUACAAAAAUUGUCAGUCGACUGCAUAUUGAGGCUAAAUGAUUUGCGUUUUAACUAAUAUUAAAAAAAAAUAUUUUGGUGAAAUGGACAAAAUAUCUGCUUUCAAGUAAAUGAUAAAUCUUCAUUAGACUCAGCAGGCAAACAUGUGCAUCACAUUGUUGCAUAUCGACACAAACAUUCUUAUGUAUAUACAUAAACUCUUCACAGAUACCAGGACUAAAUUUUGUAUAUACGCCAGACGCGCGUUUCGUCUACAAAAGACUCAUCAGUGACGCUCGAAUCCAAAAAAGUUAAAAAGGCUAAGUAAAGUACGAAGUUGAAGAGCAUUAAGGACCAAAAUUCCUAAAAGAUUUGCCAAAUACAGCUAAGGUAAUCUACAUAUUGCAAUGUUUUAAUUUCAUGCAAAUUUCAAGGUGAUCACUACUGUUCCUCGGAGCCUCUACCUGUCUUUUUUAAUGAAAGCAAACACAAAGUCAUAAGAAAGGUAGUCAAAGACAGAAAAAUAAUAUAAAUAAUUUGAUUUUUUCAUUCACAGUUGGUAUAAAGUAUGAUACGAUAAGGAAAAUUUUGGAAAAUACCACAGAAAGAGAAGGUUUACACACCGGACUUCCUGGAUUCAAAUUCAUCAUAUUUCCAAGUGUUUACACAUCACUUACAUUUAACCAUCUAGAAGUAAAUAUAUAACUAAAGAUUUUAAUGUAAAUUCAUUGGGUUGUAAAAGCGUUGACCAAAUGCAUGUUGUAUAAGGCGCGGAGGCAAUUGAAAUUAAUACCAGUCAGAACAUAUUAAUCUAACAUCUACUAGAAGUCUUAUAUCUAUAUAAAAAAAGAAACAUACUAUUAAUAUAUCAAUACAAAUAAUGAAUGUGAACAUCAGAUAUUAGAACAAUAAAUAACAUGAUACAGCAGUAAUCAGAAAAUUAUUUGUUUUACCAUUUUUAGCGAAGCUCGCUUCGCAUUUGUUUCAAUGAUAAGUUCGUAAAUUCAUUCAUAAACCAGCCAAGCGCAAUCUGUUACACUGAAUGCAAGACUUUGGAAGAACACUUUUCAUUUAAUUUAGCUUUGCUCUUUUCAUUAAUACUAUCUAGUUCUGUUUUCUAUAUAUCAUGUGUGAACCAGACCCUUUGUAGUCUCUAAGGUGGUGAUAUAAUUAUUUCUGUUUCAUUUUACUGUAAUCUGUUUCAGAGUUUAAACAAGGAUGGAGUUCAAAUUGUCCUAGACGUAACCUAUCAGUACAAAGUCAGAUCGGACAAACUAAGGAAGGUCAUUCUUGAGUUCAGGGACAAAGAUGGUUACACGAAGAUUCUCAAAUAUGAAGGUAUCAUGUGCCAAUUCGCCUAUUCAGAAUCUAAAGCAUUCUGGGUAAUAAUUUGAAAAAAUUACUACUCCAAAACGUUGUAAUUGGUUUAAAACGUGAUAAACAAUAGAAAUUCAAGUAAUUACGUAACGUUAUUUCUAUUUUGGUGUACGAACAAUCAGAUUACCUAUAGUCCUCUUGAUUCUGAAAAGCCGAGUUAUUAGAACAUUUCACCCAAUCUCAUUUUUAUAUAAAUGAAGUUUUUUUAUAACGAUAUUAUUUCUUUUUUUGUCUUUAGACAUAUCAUCCAUAAUAGAUAAAAAAAAAGCUACUGUCGGUAUUUCUCGGUAUUUGUAAUUAUUUUUCAUUUCAAAACUCCAUUUUUGAUUAAGUCAUGACGAUUGGUUGCAAUGGAUUAACCUCAUCUCAACUAUAAAUACAAGAAAACAGAUGGUCAUCACAGCCUUUUAUCUAUUACAUUUAAAAUACUACAUAAAGGAUUUUUUUAAUCUUAUGGUAACUACAACUAUAUAUCAACGAAUAUAAGCAGUAAAUAUGGGCGAGUUUUGUAACUUAAUGGACAGAUGUAGUUUCAAUGGUAUUAAGUAAACAAAUCCGAUUAAUGCUCAGUAGUUACCAUAUUUACCUUACAGUGAGGUGUGAGUUUGCUUCAUGCUAAAGGCUUUAUUGCAAAUUUGUGAUGACGAACUGCUUUGAAAUUACUCUUCUUAAUUUUGGCCAAUUGUCCAGGGAAGUAAUAGAUAUUAUGGACUUUGUGUCAUAAUUUGUUGCACAAUAGUUCCAUUCUAUUCCAUAACACAAUGCUUAAACUCUGAGGCUUAACUAGUUUUCCGGGUAGAAAAACCUUCUCUUGAAGCCAACCAAAAUAACAUUCAAUUUCUGAAAUGAUCAAUUGUUCUAAAAGAGGGGAGAAAGAUACCAGAGGGACUCAUAGAUCGAUAAUAAUCUGACAACGCCAUGGCUAAAAAAGAAAAUGCUCCCAAAGGUAGGGAGGAUCCUGUUCAACAUGUGGUUUCCAUCGUACUUCAAGAUGUAGCAACCUUUAUCGAUACAUAUAUUUUUAAAGGGGAAUCUGCUAUACACGAGACAUGUAGCCAUUUUAACACAUCUCAGUUCCAAGCAGAGCGUGCCAAUUUUCAGGAAAAGGUAAAGGAGAACAUUAUGGUCAGAUAUAAAAAGCUGAACGCAGAAAUGACAGAUUUACAAGUUAGUAGAUUUUGUGUACAAUUUGAAUUAAAUACCUUAAUAAAAGAAGAUCAUCAUGGAUGAUACACAGCGCACAAGUUUAAAAGUUAAAUAUAGACUGGAUCACACUUAAUGACUGGCAAGGAUACAUACCAUCUAUUUGGAUUUGGCAGCAGUCACAUACAAUACACACGACAGUCGUAUAAAUGUAAAAAAAAACACUCACACUUCUGUUCAAUUCAUCAUUGCAAAACGUAAAAUCACAAAUAUCUGUAGAAGUAAUAUUACAAAGCAAUUUAAACCAAGGAAAUGGGAACUAUCCUAAUUGGAGGGCCCUCAUGGGAUUUUUGAUUAUGUGAUUACUUGGUCGUUUUUUUAAUGAUUAUUUAAUUAUUAAGCCAAAUAUUUCAUGAUUAUUUGAUUACCUAGGACUGUAUUUUUAGUUUAUGAUUAUUUGAUUACUAAAGAUAAGCAAAUAUUUAAUGAUUAUGUGAUUAUAUUGGCAAAAAAAUGGUGAUUAUGUGAUUACUAGGACCCCCCCCCCAUGAGGGGCCUCUGAUUGCAUAAAAAUCAAAAUAACAACUAUACCGAACUCCGAGUAAUAUUCAAAACGGAAACUCCCUAAUCAAAUGACAAAAUCAAAUGACAAAAUAUUAAACGAAUGGACUGUCAUAUUCCUGACUUGGUGCAGGUAUUUUCAAAUGUACAAAACAAGGUUAAAUAUUUUGCCCCUUAAAACUCAUUUUUAGCUCACCUGGUCCAAAGGGCCAAGUGAGCUUUUCCCAUCACUUUGCGUCCGUCGUCCGUCGUCGUCCGUCGUCGUUAACUUUUACAAAAAUCUUCUCCUCUGAAACUACUGGGCCAAAUUAAACCAAACUUGGCCACAAUCAUCAUUGGGGUAUCUAGUUUAAAAAAUGUGUCCGGUGACACGGCCAACCAACCAAGAUGGCUGCCAUCGCUAACAAUAGAACAAGGGGGUAAAAUACAGUUUUUUGGCUUAUAACUCAAAAACCAAAGCAUUUAUAGCAAAUCUGUCAUGUGGGUAAAAUUGUUUAUCAGGUCAAGAUCUAUCUGCCCUGAAAUUUUCAGAUGAAUCGGACAACCCGUUGUUGGGUUGCUGCCCCUGAAUUGGUAAUUUUAAGGAAAUUUUGCUGUUUUUGGUUAUUAUCUUGAAUAUUAUUAAAGAUAGAGAUAAACUGUAAACAGCGAUAAUGUUCAGCAAAGUAAGAUUUACAAAUAAGUCAAAUGAUUGAAAUGGUCAGUUGACCCCUUUAGGAGUUAUUGCCCUUUAUAGUCAAUUUUUAACCAUUUUUCGUAAAUCUUAGUUAUCGUUUACAAAAAUCUUCUCCUCUGAAACUACAGGGCCAAAUUAAACCAAACUUGGCCACAAUCAUCUUUAGGGUAUUUAGCGUAAAAAAUGUGUCCGGUGACCCGGCCAUCAAAUCAAGAUGGCCGCCACGGCUAAAAAAGAACAUAGGGGUAAAAUGUAGUUUUUGGCUUAUAACUCAAAAACCAAAGCAUUUAGAGCAAAUCUGUCAUGUGGGUAAAAUUGUUUAUCAGGACAAGAUCUAUCUGCCCUGAAAUUUUCAGAUGAAUUGGACAACCCGUUGUUGGGUUGCUGUUCCUGAAUCUGUAAUUUUAAGGAAAUUUUGCUAUUUUUGGUUAUUGUCUUGAAUAUUAUUAUAGAUAGAGAUAAACUGUAAACAGCAAUAAUGUUCAGAAAAGUAAGAUUUACCAAUAAAUCAACAUGACCGAAAUGGUCAGUUGAUCCCUUUAGGAGUUAUUGCCCUUUAUAGGCAAUUUUUAGCCAUUUUUCGUAAAUCUUAGUUUUCGUUUACAAAAAUCUUCUCCUCUGAAACUACAGGGCCAAAUUAAUCCAAACUUGGCCACAAUCAUCAUUAGGGUAUUUAGUUUAAAAAUAUGUCCGGUGACCCAGCCAUCAAAUUAAGAUGGCCGCGACGGCUAAAAAUAGAACAUAGGGGUAAAAUGCAGUUUUUGAUCUAUAACUCAAAAACCAAAGCAUUUCGAGCAAAUCUGACAUGGGGUAAAAUUGUUUAUCAGGUCAAGAUCUAUCUGCCUUGAAAAUUUUUAGAUGAAUCGGACAACUUGUUGUUGGGUUGCUGCCCCUGAAUUGGUAAUUUUAAGGAAAUUUUGCUGUUUUUGGUUAUUAUCUUGAAUAUUAUUUUAGAUAGAGAUAAACUGUAAACAGCAAUAAUGUUCAUCAAAGUAAAAUUUACAAAUAAGUCAACAUGACCGAAAUGGUGAAUUGACCCCCUAAGGAGUUAUUGUCCUUUAUAGUCAAUUUUUAACAAUUUUCAUAAAUUUGUAAAUUUUUAUUAACAUUUUCCACUGAAACUACUGGGCCAAGUUCAUUUUAAAUAGAGAUAAUUGUAAGCAGCAAGACUGUUUAGUAAAGUAAGAUGUACAAACACAUUCACCAUCACCAAAACACAAUUUUGUCAUGAAUCCAUCUGCUUCCUUUGUUUGAUAUUCACAUAGACCAAGGUAAGCGACACAGGCUCUUUAGAGCCUCUAGUUUUUUUUUUUGUUUUUAUAUGAAACACAAUAUGUGAUAAAAGGACAUUUAACUAAAUUCAAUCAGAUUAAUGAUUUUCUUUCUUUUGCUUGAGACCCAAAAUAUACCUAUGCAAAUAUAAGGUGAAAGUCCGAGUCAGCCCUUUCCCCGCUAUAUUUCAAAAACCAAAUAUCUUAGAAUGGAGUCCAAUGAGCUAUUAAUAUUUUAGCUUAUUUUAUUCAAUCGAUGCUCCUGCUUAUUAUAUCAAUUCUACGUUCUUGAUAUAUUUAAUUUCACCUAGUAAAUACACCCUUAAGGAUGUUUGUUGCUCAGUUUCAAAAUAAAUAACUUUCCAUAAAACUAGUAUAUAUUGAUAGGGUAUUAAUAAAAUUAACGGUAUCAAUUUUCUUGCACCAGAUGCGCAUUUCGACAUUACAUGUCUCUUCAGUGAUGCUCGUGGCCAAAAUAUUUGAAAUCCAAAGCUUAUAUAAAAGAUGAAGAGCUAUUAAUUGAGGAAUCAAAAAAGCAAAAAAAUAUAGGGGUCAAUGUGCUUAUUUUCGAAAUAUUAGCAAUUGAAAUUUUGGCGGGAAAAUGUUCAUUCUUGAUUUUUCAUAGCUUUAUCAUUGACCAGUUAAAGUUCUCAAAAACUAUUAAAAAAAUAAAUAAGAUUUAAUAAGACUUUAACAAAUAGCUUAUAAUUAUACAUGUAAAAGAUUUGUAAAAACAAAAAGGGGGGUUCAUGGGCAAAUUUUUUAAAGGCAUUUACAUGGACAAAACCUGAGGAUUUCGAAAAUCUGACAAAAAUUCCAAAACAUGACAAGCAAGCAUCCUUAACAAUUGUAUAUUUUUUUAAGGUGAACAACAUUGCACGACCUACAGAAUACGAAAGUGCCAUAAGGAGUAAAGAAAGGGCCAGAGAAGACAUACGGGUGGCCAAUAACGAACGUCCAAGACUUUUGACAGAGGCUGAGACUCAAAUACGUGAAGCUGAAACACAGGCCAAAAUUAUCAUUAAUAAGGCAGAUUCUGCUGCGCGUAUUUUAGCUAACAGGUAUGUGAAUAAACAUUUAUCUAAUGGAGGUAAGGGGGAUGGUUAUGUUUUAUUUUUUGUCUGAUUCAGACAUUUUGUUCUUUGUUUUUCCUACGCUUAUAAUUCAAUAUUUUUUUUCAACAAUUUUACACUAUAAGGCAUGGGGGAAUCUGGAUUCAGAGUAUUUUUUGUCAUCUGCCUGACCACAUCCACCCAUUAGAUUGGGGAUCAGAUUAUUUCUUUUGGGGAAAACAAAAUUGCCCCCUUGAUUAAUCAUUCCCGUAAAAUUUUGUCCACUGAGUUUAGAUAACUUAAGACCAAUAACUUUAUUAAAUGUUGAUACAAAAUUAAUAGCAUAUUCAUUAGCUCAGCGCAUUAAAAAUAUUUUACCAAAAAUUAUCCAUGAAGAUCAAAAUGGGUAUAUGUAAAAAAUAGAAAUAUGCCUUUUAUUCCAAAACCUGAUAAACAGUAAUAUUAUUUUUGCUUAUGACAUCAUUGGUGAAAAUGGUAAUAUAGAAGAAAAUUUUAUUUUACAAAAGCUUAAAAUAAAAAGUAACUUGAUGUCAGAAUUUUACCAAUUAAAGAAAGCCGUUCCGAGAGAAUGGUUCCAGAUUUAAAAAAAAGAAAAAUUCAAAGAAAACUAAAGUAAAAACAUCCUUUGCAGUAAAUAUUAAUAUGAAUUGUAAUAAAAAAGAAAAUUUAGAAAAAUGUAGAUACCAGAAAAUAUUUCAUAUAUUUACUCAGAAGGAAAUUAAAAUACCGGUUCAAAAUACGACUGUCAUACAAGUGAGAGGUUUAGCUAGCUAUAAAACCAGGUUCAAUCCACCAUUUUCUGCAUUUGAAAAUGCCUGUACCAAGUCAGGAAUAUGACAGUUCUUCUCCAUUCGUUUUUGAUGCGUUUUAUUAUUUGAUUUUGCCAUGUGAUUAUGGACCUUCCGAAUUGAUUUUCCUCUGAGUUCAGUAUUUUUGUGAUUUUACUUUUUACAAAUGGAAGACCUUGAAUACAUUAAGUGUCUUUUAUGUAAUAUGUUAAAGUUUGUUUAUCAUUGUUUAUAAGAUAAUAAGUACAAAGUGUUUCGUUUGAAAUAGCUACACUUUAUUUUACCUUGUAAAGUUUUAUUGAACAAGUUGAAGAUCUUAGAUAUUUCACUAGUCAUUUUUGCAACAUCGUAGAGGAUUAUGACCACAUGUUUCUUGAAUGCCAUGUUCUUGGAAAUUUUUGGAGUAAAGUAAAAAAAAACUGAAUAUUAAAAAUAAAAUUCUUACAAAAUCGAAACCAACAUGCUGAAAUUUUUAUUCAUAAAUACCUGUGAGUAGCUCAUAUUAAUCAUAUUUAAAUCACUAUAAAAACUUUAAUUUCCAAACCAGGAAGAGAUAAUGGCAAGUGUGAAAUAUUUACCGAAACGUUUUCUUUCCAAACAAAAUAGAUAAUACAUAUAGAUAAUUAAGAAUUUCAUAUAUACUUAUUUAUUUAGUAUUGGAAAUGAAAUAUAUAUAUACUAUAGUUAAGAUAAAUUGUAAUGUAUUAUUGUUAAACAGAGAGAAACCCUGGAUAUCUUAUAAAGAGACCCUUCACUACAAUGCUGGAAUAGUUAAGAAAAAUGUUAACAGCAAGCAAUAGAAUGAAAUUCAAAACAGUGUGGCUGUGGCCAUUGAUUGAUACAUUAAAUUCAUCCAUUGACUGGGACAAUUUCUCGAACGUUUGUCUGUACCGACCACUGUUCACGACGUACCUACGAUAGACAUUUAAACUGUGGGGUCACCAAAGGUUUCUUAACGACUUUAAUUAUAAAAUAAUUCGAAAAAUCAAUCAGGAAUAACCUUUAUGUUUUGAUUUCUAUAAUUGAUAUAAAUCAAAACAUCGUGUUAUUUCUGAUUAAUUUUUCGAAUUACUUUAUUAAGAUGUUGAGAACUUUGUGACCCCUAGUUUAAGUGUCUUUAAAAAGUACAUAGUGAGCAGUGGUCGUUACAUACAAACGUUCACCUAAAUUGUCCCAGUCAAUGGAUGAAUUUUAAUGAAAAGAAAAGAAUAGAAAAGAAGAGAAAUUUUUUAGAAGAAAUUUUGCUUCUAUGUACAGCCUUGCCAAUUAAAUUAUAAAUUCAUAUUUUGAAAAGAAAUAAAAUAAAAAUUAUAAAACUGUCCAUAUUGUUGUGUUCAUUAUUAAAUCAUUUUUGAAUGCAAACUGAUAAAACACAAUCAGAAACCAUUUCAAUUUGACCAAUAUGCUCAUUUUACCACAUGAACAAAAAAGAAAUGACAACAAUUACAUGAGAUAAUCUAUAUCCAACUUUCAAUGUCUCUGCUUAAUCUGAUAAAAUUUAAAAAACUAUGUUGUGCAAAAAUUUUCAUUGUUUGUAAGAAAAUGAGUUAAUAAAUUUACUAGGUAGGAUUUUUUAUAGGACUGCAAAUAUGACAAAUUCGUAACAAAAUAAUUUGAAGAAAAUGGUUUUGAAAAUUACCGACACAAGAAAAGGAGCACAAAAGUAAACAAACAAAAGACAUCUAGAGGUCAACAAUAAACACAAUGACAACCUUACGAAUCGCAUUAGGUAAAGCGAAUGAUUUAUUGGUGCUUAUUCGUUAUUAUUAUUAUUAUUAUUUUAGAGCUACCACUGAGGCACAGGCCAUUAUUGCCCAGUAUGAAAAAGAGGCUGAAGCGUAUAAGAAGAUUGUAGAAGCAUCAGGACUUGGAUUCACUAUUGAUGGUUUCAUUUCCUAUCUUGGCGUACGAGUAAUCGCUGAUGCAAAGAAUCCUGUCUACAUAGGCUUGGACAGCCCAGGAAAGACGGUUUAUCCUUAAAACAAAUUGUUCCUCUCCGUGUGCAUCUGGGCACAUUCAAAUGUUGUAUUUAUCUGAAGUGCUUAGAAUAUCAUAAUGUUAAAUUUAAAAAAAGUGCAAUAUGUUGAAAUAAAGACUCAAUGAUUACAUGGAUUAUGAUGUUUAGAAUUCAACCAUUCUACUUCACAUACUGAAGCGCAAAUUGAGUAAAAAGUAAAAUCACAAAAAGUUGGAACUCCGAGGGAAAUUCAAAAAAGGAAAGGCCCUAAUUGAAUAGGAAAAUUAAAUGCGCAAACACAUCAAACGAAUAUUUCUG
This 12730-nucleotide long non-coding RNA is filed under the name Mytilus galloprovincialis (Mediterranean mussel). The record is from RNAcentral. Lineage: Eukaryota; Metazoa; Mollusca; Bivalvia; Mytilida; Mytilidae.